This 460-nucleotide ribosomal RNA is filed under the name uncultured bacterium. RNAcentral describes it as "partial 16S ribosomal RNA". It matches the Rfam family "Bacterial small subunit ribosomal RNA", at positions 338 to 795 of the family's 1533-position model. The record is from RNAcentral.
CCUACGGGGGGCAGCAGUGAGGAAUAUUGGUCAAUGGACGAGAGUCUGAACCAGCCAAGUAGCGUGAAGGAUGACUGCCCUAUGGGUUGUAAACUUCUUUUAUAAAGGAAUAAAACGAGGCACGUGUGCCUUUUUGCAUGUACUUUAUGAAUAAGGAUCGGCUAACUCCGUGCCAGCAGCCGCGGUAAUACGGAGGAUCCGAGCGUUAUCCGGAUUUAUUGGGUUUAAAGGGAGCGUAGAUGGGUUGUUAAGUCAGUUGUGAAAGUUUGCGGCUCAACCGUAAAAUUGCAAUUGAUACUGGAAGUCUUGAGUACAGUUGAGGUAGGCGGAAUUCGUGGUGUAGCGGUGAAAUGCUUAGAUAUCACGAAGAACUCCGAUUGCGAAGGCAGCUUACUAAACUGCCACUGACAUUGAUGCUCGAAAGUGUGGGUAUCAAACAGGAUUAGAUACCCCUGUAGUC